Molecule: small nuclear RNA, 107 nt
Filed under: Echinostoma caproni
Lineage: Eukaryota; Metazoa; Platyhelminthes; Trematoda; Plagiorchiida; Echinostomatidae
Source: RNAcentral
GUACUAUCCUCGGCGGUACAUAUACUAAAAUUGGAACGACACAGAGAAGAUUAGCAUAGCCCCUGCGAAAGGAUGACGCGCAAAAUCGUGAAGCGUUGCAUAUUUUU